CCUUUUACUAUUUGUAAAAGUAAUAACUGAUCUCUGUGCACGAAACCUUCCAGUAACGCAGCUCAGCCGCUGCAGCUUGUCCGCUGGCACAGACGCACACUAACUCCUCCUCCUUUUAUUAGGCGCCAUAACGUUUGUCCUAAUCGAAUUGGCUGAUCAGAUUGUUUUUUAAAUUUGACUUGCUUUGGAUCGCUUUCUCUCAAGUCGUUAAUAAAUGACUGAGAGUAACAAAAUGUUAAUUAAAUUCGUGUGUCUAAUCGACACUAAUAAGCUUUCAAACUUCACAGCGUAGAAAACUGGUGUUUAAAAAAAAAAAAGGAAUAAAAUGAACACUUCAGGAAAAAAAAAAAAAAAAUGCAUCCGCUUUUCAAGUCAGCUUUGUCUGGAGCAGCCAUUCCACUCUAAUGAGCAGGGCAGAGUUUCACCGAGCCUCACAGCACCAUUAGAUGAUCAUUAAAUGGUAGAGCGAGCAUCACACUAAACACACUCUCUCUCUCUCUCUCCCAGUUAAAACGAUCACAUCUUUGCUUUUGGGGAAAUCAGCCCAGAGCUUUAAAAGCCGCAAUCAAUGCAUAAAAUUCUGAACCGAAAGCACGGCUUCUCUAAUAAUUUCAGUUGGAUGAGAGUGUUGUUUUUGUUGAGUUUCACUUGAAGUGUCUAAUGAAGACAGCGUGGCUUUGAGGGGUUUCUUAGAAUCAACGGGAUGACGAAUAGCAUAUUCUUCUGCGAUUGACGUAUGGAGGUGUAGAGAAGGAGGCUGUGCAUGAGUCACUGGAGGGUCACCGUCAUCAUCACAAGAACUAUGAGUAAGGUAUGUUGUCACAAGAGAUAGGUACGUAGUUAUUCCCUUGUAAGUAUGAAUUUGUUUCGCCACUCACUGAACACCGUCUCCGCAGUGAAGCAUGGUGGCGGCAGCAUCACUUACACGCGCAUUAAAAAAAAUAAAAAUUUAAUGACCUAAUAAAAAAAAAAAAAAAAAAUAAAUGAUAAAAAGAAAUGAAUCCAAUAGAAGAGAACUGAGCGAAUCAGCGAUUAUUUCCCCGCCGACGUUAGCAUGAACAAAGCUCACUCGAGUGAAGAGACGACAACGAGGCUUGUGUUUAAACGACUUUUCCGCAGGUGACGAGAUGGCGAGUGAUGUGGCAACAACUAGAUCAAAGAUUCCCAUUCACUCUGAGAGCAGAUUACAGUUAGCCGGCUAGAUUUCAGACGAUUAGCCAGACUAGGCUCCGUUUCUCUUUAAAACCUUCUGCCUUUGGCCUCACUCUUGUCAUGAUCCGCGUCUCAAAUCGAAAACCCCAAAAACUCAAAACCAGACCUUUCGGUAGGUUUAAGAGGUUUUAAUAACAGUUAAAAGUCUCGAAUAGUAGAUAUGUAAUGUAAUGUAAUGUAAGCAUGCAAUUUGAGAUACAACAUUACUGCAGACAUUAUGUCACGUUGUGUUGUCCUGCUCCCAGUAUAUAUUGUGGUGUUGCACAAAUGUGGACGCAUCGCUUUAAUUUCUUAGGACACGCACAAGCGGUGUGCCAAACAAACGCAGGAUACAUGCUGCGGCCAUUUUAACUAGCUCCUUACACAUCGUGAUCGCUAACGGUAGACUAUAAUGUAAAUAGAAAGAAUUCCAUGUCAUAUUGGUGACAUGUACUGCUUACGGUUUGCUUAAAGUCGAGAGUCAGAGUAUGUUAUAGACAGAAAAAUCCUUUUUUUUUUUUUUGUCUACAAUUUUUUGUUGUUAUUCAGACACAGCAGUACCUGUGGGAAUGAGAUGGGUUCCCCAGACCACCACAUGCACAUCAUCUUAUCUCUUCAUAGAAACCGUAUUAAACUGUGGUGAUGAAUUACUGCACAUACGCUCUGCCUACUCUCAGUCAACUCACUCUUGUUCAACAGAAACGGACUGAAACCAAACCCUUUGAACAAAUUAUUACCCAAAUCACCAACUGUAAGUGUUUACUCGGUGAUUAAGUAAACACUUACUUAAUCGCUAUGAGAGAUUAGUAACCAGUCAAGAAAUUAAAAAAUAAAAACUAUAUAUGGUGGAAAAAGCUUAUUAUUAAUGUCAGAUUAGUUCUUUGUACUGUUUCCUGCUAAUCUUGUCUCUCAGGAACGUUCCGUUUUGUUGUAGUGAGGUUUUGUAUAAGGGUUACGAAGCUGACACGAAAUUAAGGAGCACGCUACAAUGACUUUUAAUUCUCUAAAAAGAUUUAACAGGGAUGCACUGAUUUUAUUCGGAAUAUCGUAUAGAGCUAAUACUGAUCCAAAGCUCUGGAUUGUAUCGGAUCAGAUUGAAUAAUACAGCAUCAUGCUGUGAUAUUGGUAUUAUACCGAAUAGAAAAUUGGUAUUAUAGUGAGGAUGCCACACACAUUAGUUAGAUAUUUCAAAUGUUUAUUAUUAUUAUUAUUAUUAUUAUUAUUAUUAUUACACAUUUUGCUGCUGAUUAUUUUUUGAAGACAGAAAAAGGUCAGCCAGUUGUUUACGUAGAAUUACCCAGAGGAAGAUUAAAUAGGAAUGGAAGAAGCACAAUUAUAGGGCUAUUACCCCACAGCACUUAUCAGUGUGUGUAUUCGUAUUAGUGUUUGUGCAUCCACUGAAAGCUGUUGCCAUGACAGCACAGCUCCUCGGCUCGCGACGGUAUGUUUGUAGCUAAUUAGAUUGUACAGCAGCUCCGGGGCUUCCUACUCAAUCGUGUAUACUCUGUACAUUUGCCUCGUUUCUCGCUUUUUUAAUUAUAUUUAAUUUCAUUUAAUGAAAAGGAAGGAUCCCUCAUAUAUAUAUACACACGGGUCAUAACGAUUCACAUGGAAAAACCGAUAUAGUGAAAUAGUAUAUGUUUUCCGUACUAGAUAAUAAGACACCAUUAUACACACUCUGUCCGCUUUAUUAGGAACACCUGGGUGAGACUCUGCAUAGAGUGGAUUGCGCAAGGUGUUGGAAACAUUCCUUGGGGAUUGUGGUCCAUGUUGACAUGAUUUCUUCGUAAGAAUUGCUGCAGAUUUGUCAGCUGCACAUGCACGCACAUCCCAAAGGUGCUCUACUGAACUCAUUGUCGUGUUCAUGGGAACAGUUCGAGGUGAUUGUGUUGCAUGAUCGUGCUGGAUUUGACCAUAAAGUGCAGCAACAAUACUCAUGCUGUGGCAUUCAAAUGAUGUUUGGUUUAAAGGGCCCCAUGUGUGCCAAGGAAACAUUCCCCCACCGUUACACCACCUCCACCAGCCUGAACAGCCUGGACAAGGCAGGUUGGGUCCAUGGAUUCAUGCUGUUGAUGCCAGAGUCCGACCCUAACAUCUGCAUGUUGCAGCAGAAAUCGAGAUUCAUCAGACCGGCCAACACUUUCCCAAUCUUCAACCGUCCAGUUUUAGUUAUCCUUCGCCGACUGUAGCCAGCAGAUUCAUGUUCUUGGCUGACAGCAGUGGAACUCGACAUGGUCUUCCGCUGUUGUAGCCCAUCCACCUCGAUGUUCAUCACGUUGUGGGUUCUGAGAUGCGUUCUUUUCUGCUCAGCACGGUUGUAAAGAGCAGUUAUUUGAGCUACUGUAGCCUUCCAGUCAUUUCUGCCUGCAGAACCGCUACUCACUGAACGUUUUUUUUGUCUUCACACAGUCUUGACCCGUACCUACAUGAUCUUAUCCAUUGCGCUGCUGCCACGUCAUCGGCUGAUUUGGAUAAUUGCAUAAAUGUACAGGUGAACAUUAUAAGGGUUCCUCAUAAAGUAUGUGGUUUUAUAUAUUGUGAAACGGUGACUUGCUUUAACAUCUGGUUGUAACAUGGAGAUUUCUAUCAUAAUGCAGAUCUAGCACUUUGCUUGGACAUGAUACGCAUACAAUAAGUGGCAUCAUCAUUCAUGUGAUGAUUAAAAAAAAAUUACCAUUAUAUUCCAUGGAAAAAUCUUGAAAUCUUGCACAAUCCUUGACUUGGGUUGGGUCUGCCAUUCCACAGACGUUUAGUGCUAGAUAAUAUGAGGCAUAAUCCUCAUAAAAUCUGAUGUUUUCCUAUUUCCGGUCAUCUAACCUGUAUAAUAAUAAUCCUAAAAUACAUUGCCUUUUUCUCAUCCUGUGUUUACACUCAAGGCUAUUACGCAGAGCAGCAUACAGUAAAUCAACACACUUAUCUAUCCAGUAUCACUGAACACAAAGUGAUGUUUGUUAUUCCAUGUCCCGAGAUUGAUAACUCCAUGAUAACGGACAUCCAUGAAAUAACCAGGGGCAUCGUUUUAAACAAAACAAACAAAUCCUGUUAAUCAUUAAUAACCCUCGGGCUUGAUAUUUAACCUUCAUCGUAAUAGGGUCUAAAUUUAGAAUCAUGUGCCUUUGUAACCUGCGUGCGUUUUUUGUCCGCUGGAAACAACAGAGCUUGCCUCCCAGAUCUUUCCAGACUUUAUGAGGCGACAAGGCUGUGUUGCCUGGUGAUGAACGUGGGUGCGUUUACUUCACCUCGCAAGUCAAACAUCCACCCAGCACAAAUGAUCACCAUCGACCGACCAGAUGGUCACGUGGUCGGAUCAUUAUCGUGAACGGUUGGAGAUGCCGUGAGAGGCGUUUUAGAUGGGGUUUAUGUGCGUAUGUAUUUGUGAAUGCCAUGAAAUGCAUGGUCGUGAAUUAAUAUUCAAUACAAGCCAUUUCUCUCAUACACAUUUCAGAUGGUUUAUACAUCAUUUCUUCUGUUUAGACACUGAUAAAAAAAAAGAAAAAAGAAAAAAGAAAAGAAGCAUUUGACAUGUACGGUGAUUACAAUCUAAGAGAUAUUUAGUAACAUAAUUCGGUUGUAUAUUUAAAUAGUAUUGAAUAUUAAGCAAAAAUCAUAAUACAUAAUGGGAUGUAAAGCAAAUGCUCAUUUCCUAUUAAUGACUUUGUAAACACCUCAUUGCAAAGAUAGAAAAAAAAAUAUAUAGUAUGUGUGGUGUGCUUACCAUCUUAAAUAAGUGUGUGAUGUGUGUGUGUGUGUGUGUGUUACCUUGGCCUCCAGCAGCGGACUCUGGAGGAAAGCCACGCAGAAGAGGAGCAGUAUGGAGCUAGUGUGAGGGCCCGACAUCCUGCAGGAGAGAAUGAAGCUGCCCCUUAUGACAGAGAGAUACACCGCCACUGAGCUCUGGACCACGGAUGGAGCGAUCCAGAAGGAGGGAGGGGGAGAGAGUGAACAAGAGCGAGCGAGGGAGGGCGAGGAAGAAAGGAAGAAGGGGAGGAGCCUGUCUCUAAAUAAAGAGGGAUGAGAAAGCACUCCUGGGAGAAGCGAG
Ictalurus punctatus (channel catfish) is the source of this 5230-nucleotide long non-coding RNA. The record is from Ensembl. NCBI's taxonomy places the organism in Eukaryota, Metazoa, Chordata, Actinopteri, Siluriformes, Ictaluridae.